This is a long non-coding RNA of Mytilus trossulus (common blue mussel), 771 nucleotides long. RefSeq lists it as uncharacterized. The record is from RefSeq and is a predicted model, not a curated record. NCBI's taxonomy places the organism in Eukaryota, Metazoa, Mollusca, Bivalvia, Mytilida, Mytilidae. The transcript has 3 exons.
AGGUUCUUCUGUGAUACGUUUUCAAGGUGUGGGAAUAAGACUUGGUGGUCUAAUACAGCUAAUACAAAGGUUAGCAUCACAGCUUGUCUGUAAGGAUUGAAGCUGGGAGUGGGCAUUGGAGCGGACUUUUAUGAUAACUGUGGCUGCAUAAGAUGGUAGUGUUAUAUAACUGCAACAGUAAAGAAUGUAAUUCAGACUAUUUUUGGGUAUGCUCGAAAAAAUAUUUAUAAUUUUUUUACAAAAAAAAAAAAAAUUGUAAAGAUUCUCCAUUUUCAACAAGAUUGGAAGUAGAUGGUUUACUUAUGUAUUUGGCAUUACAAAAAUUCUUUCUAUUUUCCAUUUAUACUCAUAUCUAGUCAAAACACUUCCAGCAGUUUAAGAAUGGAGAAUCUAAAAAAGAAAAAAAAAAGAAAAGAAAGAAAAGAAAAGAAAAAAAAUGUUCAAUUAUUGAAAUGUAUUUUUUUUGUAAAUUGUAAUGUAUAUAGUUAUGCCAUAUUUUUGUUAUUUAAGAUUUGAGAUACUUUCAAAGGAGUAGGUCCGGUAAGACCCCUUUUUGGCCCCAAAAAAUAAGUUUUACAAAAUUGUUAAAAUGUAAACUUUUAGUUAUUUAUUGGACAGUUAAAUGGUACUGCUACACAAAUAUGGGCAGUUUUUUUAACAAUACAAUGCACAAAUAUCGGGUUGUAGCACUAUCAAGUCAUGCUAAAUUACGGAAAUCUUCAAAAUUCUAUCAUUUUAGUUAAAUUUUAGACGGUUUCCAUGUAAAACCAA